CAUGCAGUCGAGGGGCAGCAUUUUUGAAGCUUGCUUCAAAAGAUGGCGACCGGCGCACGGGUGAGUAACGCGUAUGGAACCAACCCGCAACAGGGGGAUAACCCGGAGAAAUCCGGACUAAUACCGCAUGGUACUCUUUGCACAGAAGUGUGAAGAUUUAAAGAUGCGAAUCGGUUGCGGACGGUCAUGCGUUCCAUUAGCUAGUUGGCGGGGUAACGGCCCACCAAGGCGACGAUGGAUAGGGGUUCUGAGAGGAAGGUCCCCCACACUGGUACUGAGACACGGACCAGACUCCUACGGGAGGCAGCAGUGAGGAAUAUUGGUCAAUGGGCGAGAGCCUGAACCAGCCAAGUCGCGUGAGGGAAGACGGCCCUAUGGGUUGUAAACCUCUUUUAGAUGGGAGUAAAGUGUUCUACGCGUAGGAUAUUGCAAGUACCAUCAGAAUAAGCAUCGGCUAAUUCCGUGCCAGCAGCCGCGGUAAUACGGAAGAUGCGAGCGUUAUCCGGAUUUAUUGGGUUUAAAGGGUGCGUAGGCGGGUGAUUAAGUCAGCGGUGAAAUGCGUCAGCUUAACCGGCGAACUGCCAUUGAAACUGGUUACCUUGAGUGUAGCGGAAGUAUGCGGAAUGCGUGGUGUAGCGGUGAAAUGCAUAGAUAUCACGCAGAACUCCGAUUGCGAAGGCAGCAUACCAUACUAUAACUGACGCUGAAGCACGAAAGCGUGGGUAUCGAACAGGAUUAGAUACCCUGGUAGUCCACGCAGUAAACGAUGAAUACUCACCGUUUGCGAUAUAAUGUAAGCGGUAAAGCGAAAGCGUUAAGUAUUCCACCUGGGGAGU
This 836-nucleotide ribosomal RNA is filed under the name uncultured bacterium. RNAcentral's name for it is "bacterial SSU rRNA". It matches the Rfam family "Bacterial small subunit ribosomal RNA", at positions 54 to 881 of the family's 1533-position model. The record is from RNAcentral.